This 74-nucleotide microRNA precursor is filed under the name Ovis aries (sheep). RNAcentral describes it as "miRNA (ENSOARG00000024086.1)". Lineage: Eukaryota; Metazoa; Chordata; Mammalia; Artiodactyla; Bovidae. The record is from RNAcentral.
GUUGGCCAAAAAGUUCAUCUGGGCUUCCCAUAGCAUCUUGUGCAAAAACGGGAACGAACCUUUUGGCCAACACA